This 1433-nucleotide long non-coding RNA is filed under the name Apteryx haastii (Great spotted kiwi). RNAcentral's name for it is "lncRNA (ENSAHAG00000008302.1)". Lineage: Eukaryota; Metazoa; Chordata; Aves; Apterygiformes; Apterygidae. The record is from RNAcentral.
CCCCCCCGCUGCUGGGGGCCGCCGCCCCGGCCCCGCUAUGGUGAUCCCGGCCAUGUGGGCAGCAGGUACCGGGGGGGGGACGGACGGACGCGACCCACGGCGGUGCCCGGCGUGGGGUGCUGUGGGGCGCCGUGGGGCCUAUGGGGCGGUGCUGAGGUUCAGCAUCCCCAUAUGGGGUGCUAUAGGGUCCUGUGGGUGCUAUGGGGCUGUGCUGGACCCCAUGGGGGGUCCCCAGCAUAGGAUGCUGUGGGGCACCAUGGGGUGCUGUGGGGCGCCGUGGGGCCUAUGGGGCUGUGCUGACGUUCAGCAUCCCCUUGUGGGGUGCUAUGGGGUGCUAUGGGGUCCUAUGGGUGCUAUGGGGCUGUGCUGGACCCCACGGGGGUCCCCGGUAUAGGAUGCUGUGGGGCACCAUGGGGUGCUAUGGGGCCUGUGGGGCAGUGCUGAGGUUCAGCAUCCCCAUGUGGGGUGCUAUGGGGUGCUGUGGAGCCCUAUGGGUGCUAUGGGGCUGUGCUGGACCCCACGGGGGUCCCCAGCAUGGGAUGCUGUGGGGCGCUGUGGGGUGCUAUGGGGCGCUAUGGGGCCUGUGGGGCUGUGCUGAGGUUCAGCAUCCCCAUGUGGGGUGCUGUGGGGUGCUAUGGGGUGCUAUAGGGUCCUGCAGGUGCAUGGGGGUCCCCGAUAUAGGAUGCUGUGGGGCACCAUGGGGUGCUAUGGGGCCUGUGGGGCUCUGCUGGGGUUCAGUGUCCCCAUGUGGGGUGCUAUGGGGUGCUAUGGGGUCCUAUGGGUGCUAUGGGGCUGUGCUGGACCCCAUGGGGGUCCCCGGCAUGGGAUGCUAUGGGGCCUAUGGGGCUGUGCUGGGGUUCAGCAUCCCCAUGUGGGGUGCUAUGGGGUGCUAUAGGGUCCUGCGGGUGCUAUGGGGCUGUGCUGGACCCCAUGGGGGUGCCCAGCACGGGGUGCUGUGGGGUGCUAUGGGGCUGGACCAGAGCUGGGUGUCCCCAGCACAGGGUGCUAUGGGGCGCUGUGGGGCCCAUGGGGUUGUGCUGAGGUUCAGCAUCCCCAUGUGGGGUGCUAUGGGGUGCUAUAGGGUCCUGUGGGUGCUAUGGGGCUGUGCUGGACCCCACGGGGGUCCCCGGCAUGGGGUGCUGUGGGGCACCAUGGGGUGCUGUGGGGCUGUGGGGUGUCGCCGGCCGGAGGAGGGUGUUGUGGGGUGGGGGUGUCCCCCGUGUAGGGGUGUUGCAGGGUGGGGUGUCCCCCGGGAACAGUGUUGCAGGGUGAGGGUGUCCCUGUCCCCCCCCAUGAAGGGGUGUUGCAGGGUGGGGUGUCCCCUUGGGAGGGGGUGUUGCGGGGUGGGGUGUCCCCCCGGGAAUGGUGUUGCAAGGUGGGGGUGUCCCGUCCCCCCCCAUGAAGGGGUGUUGCGGGGUGGGGUGUCCCCCCGG